Molecule: transfer RNA, 75 nt
Filed under: Sphingomonas sp.
Lineage: Bacteria; Pseudomonadati; Pseudomonadota; Alphaproteobacteria; Sphingomonadales; Sphingomonadaceae
Description: tRNA-Val
Rfam family: tRNA
About the family: Transfer RNA (tRNA) molecules are approximately 80 nucleotides in length. Their secondary structure includes four short double-helical elements and three loops (D, anti-codon, and T loops). Further hydrogen bonds mediate the characteristic L-shaped molecular structure. tRNAs have two regions of fundamental functional importance: the anti-codon, which is responsible for specific mRNA codon recognition, and the 3' end, to which the tRNAs corresponding amino acid is attached (by aminoacyl-tRNA synthetases). tRNAs cope with the degeneracy of the genetic code in two manners: having more than one tRNA (with a specific anti-codon) for a particular amino acid; and 'wobble' base-pairing, i.e. permitting non-standard base-pairing at the 3rd anti-codon position.
Source: RNAcentral
GGGCGCGUAGCUCAGAGGUAGAGCACACCCUUCACACGGGUGGGGUCACAGGUUCAAUCCCUGUCGCGCCCACCA